AUGGACCCGGCAUGCGGCUUCAGACAACCUUCAACCCAGCAAGCAGCAAUGAUGGAACCCGAUGAGUUGUUUCAUGAUCUGUCUACAUCCAUCCACGAGGAUGAAGAGAGUCGUGGGUGCCUCUCGCCCGUCACCGAGGUUCUCAUGACCAAUGGAGCUCCUAGCAUCGGCGAAUCGUCUGUUGCUCGUACCCGUGAUGGGCGAGAAAACCAAAACAUCGAUGACGAGACAGUCGAUCGCCAUGACGGCGGUGAUGCAAACGCUUCUUUGGUGCUGAACCAGUAUGCUAGGGUCUGGCGACCCCGGGGCGACGCCCACACGGCGCCUCCGCCGCUCGGCUCCGGCCUUGUGAACGCCGGAGAUGCUGCCAUGUGCGCCAAUCAGGAGUACUAUGGCUCUGUUGCGGCCUCGUCCGCCCGUCAACCUCCUGGCCUCAGCGCCAUGGUCGGUCUAACUGCAGAUCAGUCUAGAAGGCUCAAGUAUGGGAGUCAGGCAUGCAUACGUAUGGAAUAUGGGAUGGUUAUGAACCCUUGGCCAAUUCGAGAGGGAGAAGGGGCCUCACUGAAGGUGUAUUCAAGACGUCCUAGGGCCACUGGAGUGGAGUAUCUCAAACCCAGGAAGCCGCCUGAUGGGGCUCCCCUUGCGGAUGCUACCCGCCCGAAGCUGACCGAUGGGGGAGCUGCGGCCUUCCUGGCGGUGAAUCCCAGCGCGCCUGCUAUUGUUGGCCAUGUGGAGAACAUGGACCUUGACCAAGAUACGGAGGCGAACAUGACCGGGGGGUGGAUACCCAGCAGGAACAAUAAGAGUUCUCACUUGGAAUUGCAGAGGGGGAGGUAUAUUGAUGCGCAUUCCCUUCUUCGAGAUCUCCAUCAACUCGAGGAUAUGCCAUGGGCUGUGAUCGGGGACUUCAACGAGGCCAUGUGGGCCUUCAAACACCUAUCGGACAGCCCGCGGUCGGCCGAGGUGGUGCACUUGGUGGCGCCCAGCUCGGACCACCUGCCGAUAUUACUCAAGUGUUCGGCCUUGCAUGAUAGGCCGGAGCCAUCCAAACGAUGCCGCAGUUAUGAAGUGAUGUGGGAGCGCGACGGUGCACUCCCGGAGGUGAUCCAAAAUGCUUGGAGGGAGGCGGGCGCUAUGGGAAAUCUUGGUGAUGUCGCUGCUGCCCUUGGGAAGCUCAUGCACAUCCUUCAUGACUCGGGCAAGAAGAGGUUUGAUAAUGUGGUAAUGGAAAUUAACAACUCUCGUUCACGCUUGGAGGAAUUAAUGGCUAUGAAUGCAGACCAACGCACUAUAAGAGAAGCGACGGAUCGCAUGAAUGAGCUCCUCUACAGAGAGGAGAUGCUAUGGAUGCAGAGAUCAAGAGUGUCAUGGCUGAGAGAAGGAGACCGCAACACAAAUUUUUUCCAUCGACAGGCUGUGUGGCGUGCCCGAAAAAACCGGAUUAAGGUCCUGAUUGAUGAGCAUGGGGUCGAGCAGAAGGACCAUGACGUGAUGGCAGGCAUGCCGUUCCACUACUACUUCCUCGCCUCCCCUGCCUCCACUCCCCGCUCGUGCUUCCUCCGGGCAUCACCAGAGGGCGCGGCAGUCCUCGCGGGGCAUCCAGCGACACACAGGCCGUGGCAGGAACAGCCUCGCGUCAGGCUGACCGAUCAGCAGCGCCGGGCUUGUGGUGUUGCCCAGCAGGUGUUCGACGUAAUGCUGAUGGCUCGCGCCAGGGCUUUCUACAGCACACCGAGGGCUCUGCGGUUUGGGAAUUUGCCAGACAGGUUCUUGUUGUGCAAGAUCGGAGCCGACAACAGCCUGCUUCCUCAUAAACUCUACCUUUUGAAUAUUGGGCAAGUUGUCCUACAAGAAGGUUUUCUGAAAGAUCCAACACUCUCAUAUACUGCAGUUGACAUACAUAUACUGGAAUUGUUCCAUUGA
RNAcentral lists this ribosomal RNA (1923 nucleotides) under Triticum aestivum (bread wheat). RNAcentral describes it as "partial small subunit ribosomal RNA". The record is from RNAcentral. Lineage: Eukaryota; Viridiplantae; Streptophyta; Magnoliopsida; Poales; Poaceae.